AUAAAAGUGUUCAAGGCAGAGAUAUGAAGGUUCAGAGUGAUUGCUGUGUUCACAAUUUUGAUCUAAUCAGCCUCAAGGAAAUGAAAAUACGAGGGACCACUGAAAAUUCUCAUUGCAGGACCAGGAAGAGGAUCAUUGACACGAAGGGGGACACUAACUCACAGCCCCCCUCCACUCCUUUCUGUCGUCUUCAUCCAAAUGGCUACUUCUCUGAUUGUCCAUUAUUUGAUCAACAAUUAACCCCAGGGAAGAGAAUCUAG
Molecule: long non-coding RNA, 260 nt
Filed under: Sus scrofa (pig)
Lineage: Eukaryota; Metazoa; Chordata; Mammalia; Artiodactyla; Suidae
Description: lncRNA (ENSSSCG00005042927.1)
Source: RNAcentral